CAGUGAUGCUAACACGUCGCUAGCCGCGGUGUUCAGGGUUCACGCUCGUUCACCGACGUGUUGACGGGACGAGCUUCAUCCCGACAUGGAUGAGGGAGGUUAACACAGAGAUCUCCAGAGGGGCACUAUCCUGUCAAGUUGUACACCGGUUGCUCAGAGUGUGGCAGAGGCCCGGGGCAGAGCAAUUACAGGUCCUGCUGAUCAGGGACAGAAGUCCAGCGGGGUUGGUGAUUGAAUGAGAAACAACUGGACUUCUUUUCUAACCAGCAGCUUGAGAAAACAGUUGCAAUCAAUGCGAGAUGUCUUUGUUGAAAAUUGAAUGGUGAGCAAGUCAUGGUACGUAUAUUAAUGACUUAUGAGAAUUGUCAGUGUCCUGUGAGGCGGACACAUCUACUCAUACACUAUCAGGGUUUAGUGCCUCAUGUGAAAGUGGUGAACAAAAUGCUAUUGAUGACAAUUUACAAUAAACAUUAAAAAUA
Long non-coding RNA from Hippoglossus stenolepis (Pacific halibut), 479 nucleotides. RefSeq lists it as uncharacterized. NCBI's taxonomy places the organism in Eukaryota, Metazoa, Chordata, Actinopteri, Pleuronectiformes, Pleuronectidae. The record is from RefSeq and is a predicted model, not a curated record. The transcript has 3 exons.